AACGAACGCUGGCGGCAUGCCUAACACAUGCAAGUCGAACGAGACCUUCGGGUCUAGUUGCGCACGGGUGCGUAACGCGUGGGAACCUGCCCUUAGGUUCGGAAUAACUCCCCGAAAGGGGUGCUAAUACCGGAUAAUGUCUUCGGACCAAAGAUUUAUCGCCUUUGGAUGGGCCCGCGUUGGAUUAGCUAGUUGGUAGGGUAAAAGCCUACCAAGGCGACGAUCCGUAGCUGGUCUGAGAGGAUGAUCAGCCACACUGGGACUGAGACACGGCCCAGACUCCUACGGGAGGCAGCAGUGGGGAAUAUUGGACAAUGGGCGAAAGCCUGAUCCAGCAAUGCCGCGUGAGUGAUGAAGGCCUUAGGGUUGUAAAGCUCUUUUACCCGGGAUGAUAAUGACAGUACCGGGAGAAUAAGCUCCGGCUAACUCCGUG
This 433-nucleotide ribosomal RNA is filed under the name uncultured bacterium. RNAcentral describes it as "partial 16S ribosomal RNA". It matches the Rfam family "Bacterial small subunit ribosomal RNA", at positions 29 to 507 of the family's 1533-position model. The record is from RNAcentral.